AUAGCUGGUUCUCCCCGAAAUAGCUUUAGGGCUAGCCUCAGGUGGUGAUUACAGGCGGUAGAGCACUGAUCAGGAGAGGGACCUACCCGGUUACCAAACCCAGUCAAACUCCGAAUGGCUGUAAUCAAACCUGGGAGUCAGACUACGACUUAUAAGGGCCGUGGUCAAGAGGGAAACAGCCCAGAUCAUCAGCUAAGGUCCCAAAUGCCGUGCUAAGUGGCGAAGGAUGUGGCGUUUCAUAAACAACCAGGAUGUUGGCUCAGAAGCAGCCACCAUUCAAAGAGUGCGUAAUAGCUCACUGGUCGAGAGACGCUGCGCCGAAGAUGUCCGGGGCUCAAGCACGGAACCGAAGCUAUGGCAGAUUGCUUGCAAUCUGGGUAGGGGAGCGUUCUUAUCACGGAGAAGCGGUACCGGAAGGAGCCGUGGAGAGGUAAGAAGUGAGAAUGCUGGUAUGAGUAUCGAAAAGGCUGGUGAGAAUCCAGCCCACCGAAAGCCCGAGGGUUCCUGAGCAACGAUCGUCGUCUCAGGGUAAGUCGGGACCUAAGCCGAGGCAAAGACGCAUAGGCGAUGGAGAACAGGUUGAAAUUCCUGUACCGGAGCAGUCCGUCUGAGCGAUGGAGUGACGCAGCAGGGCACACGAGCAUGCGGCUGGAAGAGCAUGUCCAAGCCCGUAGCCCGUAUGGCAGGGAAAUCCGCCAUGCAAAAGGGUGAGAGGUGACGGGGAGUUAAAGGAAACUUUGACGAACUCGUGAAUCCCACACUGCCAAGAAAAGCUUCUAGCGAGGACUGUAUCCGCCCGUACCGUAAACCGACACAGGUAGGUGGGGAGAGAAUCCUAAGGUCGACGGGAAAACCCUUGUUAAGGAACUCGGCAAAUUGCAUCCGUAACUUCGGAAGAAGGAUGGCCCUGAGUAGGCGAAAAGUCUUGCACUUGGAACCGGAAAGGGCGGCAGAAAAGAGGCCCAAGCAACUGUUUACCAAAAACACAGGUGCCUGCGAAAGCGAAAGCUGACGUAUAGGUGCUGACGCCUGCCCGGUGCUGGAAGGUUAAGGAGAGAGGUUAGCGCAAGCGAAGCUUUGAACUGAAGCCCCAGUGAACGGCGGCCGUAACUAUAACGGUCCUAAGGUAGCGAAAUUCCUUGUCGGGUAAGUUCCGACCCGCAUGAAAGGCGUAAUGAUUUGGGCACUGUCUCAACGAGGGACCCGGUGAAAUUGAAAUACCUGUGAAGAUGCAGGUUACCCGCGACUGGACAGAAAGACCCCAUGGAGCUUUACUGCAGCUUGAGACUGGAAUUCGGAAGUAGACGCACAGGAUAGGUGGGAGGCUUUGAAACAUACACUUAGGUGGAUGUGGAGCCGCUGUUGGGAUACCACCCUUCUAGUUCUGGGAUUCUAACGCGAGGAGUAACGACCCUGCGGACAAUGUCAGGCAGGCGGUUUGACUGGGGCGGUCGCCUCCGAAAGAGUAACGGAGGCGCC
RNAcentral lists this ribosomal RNA (1479 nucleotides) under human gut metagenome. RNAcentral's name for it is "bacterial LSU rRNA". It matches the Rfam family "Bacterial large subunit ribosomal RNA", at positions 845 to 2310 of the family's 2925-position model. The record is from RNAcentral.